GUUUUGGUCCUUGAAUGUGAUUUUAGCUGCGAGUAACGUGUCCUCGCUCCUCUCGGGCUCCCUCGGAGGGUUUUCAGAGAGGUUUCAGUGCAUCCAUUUUCUCAGAUCCUCUUCUUCUUUCCGGGUAAGGAUCUGGGGCCCUGCGGUCGACUUGGAGCGCGUAGGCGGCGGCUCAGGCUCUCGGAGGGGUCUGCGCAGUGGCCGAGGGAGCUCCCGGACGGUGGCGGCGGCAGAUCUCCUGGGCUGGACGCCGUGAGGGGAACAAGCGGAUUUUCCCAGCAAGAUCUCCAUGUACAGCUACAUCUUUAGGGCCGCUCGGGUUAAUAUAUGUCGUCAGAGGCUCCUCACGCCAAUCCCGGGGCGGCGGGGGCGGCGCCUCGCACUCUCCGCAAUAAAACUUUUUGAUGUUCUUGUUGCUAAUUGCCGAGGUCCUUUUCCAGGAUUGGCUGCCCCUUCAUAACCAUAAGAUAAUUAAAACGAGGGGGGGGGCAGGGUUAAAAAAACGUUUUUAUCAGCCAGAGGUUAAUGCAAGUGUUUAACAGAUGCUUCAUUAUUAAAAUAUUUUUCCCCAAGUCUCAAAUAUUGAAGAAUCUCAAACCAGGUACAGUAUCACUCCGCUUUCUUUUCUGGUUGAAAAAAUAAAAGGAACGCAGAUACUGCUUUUCGAAGUGUUUGGUAUGUAACCGAGGCAAGAAAAUCAGCAGGCAGCCGGGUGCAGUUUUGUGCGGGGCCGAGAGCAGAUGAGGUGGGCGGCGAGGGCCCCACAAAGGGGCGGCUGGGCCCAGGCGGGCGCCGGGCGCGGGGCGCGGCGGGGAAGGCUGUUGCUUGGCCCUAGGCACAGGCUGGAAACGCCCGGCUUGGGAUGUCUUCACUUACCCACCACGUUAUCCCGGCCCAGGCCGUUUGGGGUGGCUCAUGUCAUUGUGGUUGCCUUUGGAGAUCACUGUGGAGACCCCAGAGGAAUGGUCAGGCCGAUUGUAAAUCCUCCUAUUUUCAUAUUCUUCAAGGGACACCAGGUCCAACGAAGACCUUGGGCGAUUUCAAAGCGCAGGCACCUCGAUUCCUCGAAUUUGUGGUGUGGCCGGUAUCGGUGUUCCCCUGGUUUAACUAGCCUGUUUGGCCCAGCUGAAAUGCCACCUCCCCCAGAAAGCCUUUCCAGGUAUUGCUUCCCUUUACUCUCUUGCCUCAAGACCCUGGGAGAACCAAGGAAGACGUCCUCCCAUCAAUUACGCUGGCAUUGGGUCUUCGUCAGCCAGUGUUGGAUCUGAGAGUGGGAGACCCUGCCCGGCCUCGCUGGGUACCCCCUAAGACAUCCUGAGCUUCGGAGUCAGAGCCAGGCAAGGUGGACUCUGGACUCCCCUCGGACAAGCUCCUCGGUCUCUCUAAGCCUAACUCUCCCCAUCUGAACAACGGGGUAAUGACCCCGACCUCGAGGGUGUUUAGGGCAGAUUAAAUGAAAUCAAGCUGCACUC
This 1472-nucleotide long non-coding RNA is filed under the name Rhinolophus ferrumequinum (greater horseshoe bat). Its description in RNAcentral is "lncRNA (ENSRFEG00010005756.1)". Lineage: Eukaryota; Metazoa; Chordata; Mammalia; Chiroptera; Rhinolophidae. The record is from RNAcentral.